This 3007-nucleotide long non-coding RNA is filed under the name Setaria viridis. Its description in RNAcentral is "long non-coding RNA (SVIR_LNC003655)". The record is from RNAcentral. Lineage: Eukaryota; Viridiplantae; Streptophyta; Magnoliopsida; Poales; Poaceae.
CCCGGCGCCGUAGAAUACAGGAGCAGAACCAAUCCCGUAGUGGGUGAUGCCGCCCAUGAGGUUCGAGAGGAAUGAGAGAACCAUGGCGGCAAAGAGUGAGGGGGUGCCCAGGGCCUUCGCCACUGACAGGAAUGCAGCAAACAUUGCUCCAAUGUGUGCAGCACCACUGGCGAAGAAAUAGUGGGAGUAGAAGUACAGCAGCACCAAGACGCUGAACGAAAGUUGCCAGGACAAACCAAGGCCUCCAACAAACUGCGAGAAACAGAAAGACAUGGUCAAUAUAGGAGAAAUUAGUAAACAGGAAAAACGCAUUCCUUUCCAUGACGUUGAUGUCAGAACUGGGUUAACCAAAGAAUAAACACAUUGGAAUAUCAGGCCCAUAAAUGCCAUUGAACUUCUAGGGAAAAAAAGCUGGGCAUUGAACUGCAUGCCUAGAUUAUUUUUAUUAUUGUCAUGCUGAUGGAUAUAUGAGCCUGCCAUUCAUACUCAAAUGUUAGAAAGAAUCAAGAUAAUUAUUUCUACUUCUGGUCUAACAAACGAAAAAAAUCUUUAUAUCUUAACUACCUACCAUCUAGCUAUCCUUCAUUGUGGACAGUGCUCCAUUUCAAGGGUGAGCAGAUAAAUGGCACAAUAAAUAGCUCCUAGAUCAGGGUCAAGAUAUGCAUGGUUAAUGUCAUUAUGUAUCAGAAUUGAAUACAAUGUGCAACUUGGUGGAACCUGCAAACAUGACAAACAAUGCCAGCAAAUGCAAUGUUUGGUGGCAUCAAAGUUCAGCACCAUGCCAUAUUGAAAUGGAGAAUAUCCACCAUGCUCAAUAUCAAUUACAGUUGGACAACACUGUAGUAAUUUGUAUGCUGUUCGAACUUCUGAAUUGUGGUGUGAGGAGAAAGUUACGGGAGGAAGAGUCAGUGUACCUUCACAACAGUCUCACUGAACCAAGCAAUCAGCCCAUAUUUGUUGAGGUAGCCAGCCAUUGCGAUAAGUGCGGCAAACCAUGUAAGGGUAUCCCAUGCCACAGACUCCGCCAAACACUCUUUCCAUGUGACAACACCUGUGAUUAGGAGCACACCUAGGCCAAGAAUUGCUGCAGACACUGCAUCCACACUUAUCAUUCCCCCAAAGAUCCAAAGACCGACCUGGUGACAUGCAGAGCACAAUGAUCAGCGAAGAAUAGUCCAGUUUCUAUUCAAGUCGGAUGUAGACAGCGCAAUGACAAAAAUGUUACCAACAUUAGGUUCAACAACAACAACAAAACCUGUUAGUUUCAUGCAAAACAACAACAUAAGCUAGUAACCAAAAUCAGGCUAAGCUAAGAAAUGUUCAGUGAAGAAAUGUGCACAUCCACACCCAGGUUAAGGUUGAACUCUAUGUUUUUUGUGGAAUCACUGAGAAAUACCACCAGACAGCACUUUCUGGAAAUGUAAGAAAACUUCACAGAGAAAUAAAAUAAGGCUAUUGCAUGGGGAUUAUUCAGUAACACCUACUAAUCUACUAUCACUAAUAAUGAAUAUUUCCGAGCUCCAAGACAGAAUCACAGGCCAGAGAUCAAUUCCAUCAACUCAUACUUAGUAUCAAUCACUUAAGAAAAACAUGAAUACAGGAAGCAAACACUGCACGCAUGUUCCCCAUUGCCAAACAGCUCUACUCAAGUUCUGAAUCUUAACACACUACACACAACAAAUGGAGUAUGCAAGACAGCAGAUGAUUGUAACUAUCAGGAUUCAGAAGCAUAAAAAACAACAAUAGCACUAGACAAACUCAGGCCAUGAUUAAAAUAACAUCGACAAGCAAAAUGAAAAAGGGGUAAACAGUGCAUUAUACCGUGAGCAGCAGCGUGCCUGCCAUGAUCUUCUCCUCCUUGCUCAUGGGCCCCAUCUUGGCGAGGCGCUCCUUGGCCAGGCGCGGUGCAUCCGGGCUGGACUUCACCUCCGGUGGGUAGAUCACGUACAGAAUGAGCGGCACGAGCACGAGCGACAGCAUCCCAGGCACAAUGGCGGCCUUGGCCCACAGCGUCCACCCGAUCCCCUCCCCGAUUGUGGCCGCCGUCAGGUUGGCCGACAGCGGGUUGGCCGCCAUCGCGGUGAGGAACAUGGCGGAGGAGACGACGGAUGUCUGGAAGCAGGUGAGCAUGAGCCAUGCCCCCAGGCGGCGCUCGGUGCCGUCGCCGGCGCGCGAGCCGCAGGCCUCGCAGAGCGCCUUGACAAGCGGGAGGAAGAUGCCGCCGGCGCGGGCGGAGACGGAGGGGAUGGCGGGGGCGAGGAGCGCCUCCGCGAACACGAGCGAGUAGCCUAGGCCGAGGGAGGAGCUCCCGAACGCGGCGACGAAGGCGUAGGCGACGCGGGAGCCGAGCCCGGUCUUGAUGAACCCGCGCGCGAAGAAGAAGGCGAGCGCGAUGAGCCAGGGGAUGGGGUCGCCGAAGGCGGAGAAGGCCGCGGCGAAGGUGAGGGUGCGGGUGAGCACGGCGGCGCCGAGGCCGAGCAGGGCGACGGCACCGAGGGGCAGCGGCUGGGUGAUGAUGCCGACGAUGGUGGAGAGGAAGAUGGCGAGGAGCUGCCACGCGUUGCGGGGCACACCGGAGGGGGCCGGGACGAGCCAGAUGAGGACCCCCGUCGCGACGGUGGCGAGGAGCGGCGUGAUGGCCGCGCCCUGCAGCGCGGGCUUCGGCGGCGGGGCGGCGGGGGCCGCCCUCGCGGAGGCGGAGGCGGAGACCGGGGGGAGGACGCCGCUGCGGGAGGUGGAGGCGGCGGCGGCGGUGGGGGGUGGGGUGAAGAGGGGCUUGGAGGGGGGGAGGGAGUGGGAGAGGGAGAUGGGCUUGGAGGAGCGGCGGCGGAGGGAGAAGGAGAGGGAGGGGAGGCGGGAGCGGGGAACGGCGCUGGAGCCGAGGUGGUGGCAGGUGAGCGGCGAGGCCGCGGUGGAGGACGCCAUGGCGGCGGCGGCGGCGGGGGAAGUGGUGGUGGAAAUGGAGGUGGUGGGGUGAGGGGUGGGGUUUAAGUGGAUGGACGGCGAG